UUCUGUUCUUGCAGAGUCCACAGAGUUCGUUGUAUUGUGUGUUUUUUCUUUCGUUUUUCUUCGUUCCUCGCCUUAGUAUUGACCAUGUCACGACAUCAGAAGGAACGCUCACUGAUUUCAUCGAGGAAUCGCAUGCAUACACAUCAGGAAAGAUCCCGUGAGCGUCAGCGGAUUGUGUCCGCGAUCCUAACCUCUCUCGAGGUUCGCCCGGUAUUUCUCACAUACAGAUUGCAUUACCUAUUAUUAAUUAAUGUUUGUUCUUUUCUCAUACUGUGUCCAUUGUCGCAAUAUUAUAUCGAAUGUCGAUAUUUAUCUGCUGAUUUUGGGUGAGCAUUUACGUCUUUUUUACUGACUAUCUACCGCUUCCUGUUACCGGUAUAUAUACACAUGUAUGAUUAGUGUAGCAGUGAUUAGUGCAGCAUAUGGCGCGUAAGGUGCGCACGAGGAUCACCAAGCAGACUUAUAGUCUCCGCGUCGUUAUACGCGAGCGCUUUCUAACCUCGCAGAACUUCGCGGGAUCUUCGCGGGAUUUUCCUGUUCUACGCCUUGUGGCCGCUUGGUGCAAGCCGUGAGCAAAAUUUUUCGCUUACGCAGUGUCGUAACUCCCCGACAUCCAGCGAGGUGUCGAAGGAUAUUCAAAGACCGGCGAGUCUUGUCCCGCAUACGGACUUUACGACACUCUCGGACGGGCCCGGCGAGGUAUCCGUACCGUUGACUCUCUGAACGGAACGUAGACGAGCAGCCGGCCCUUGCUGGCCGAGGCGGCGACCUAGGUAUGUCUCCUUGCCAUAAGGAGAUCAUAACCGACUGCUCACUUCUACUGUGUUCCGCUUCUCUCUCCCUUUUUUUUCCUUCCCUUUUCAGUGACUGCCUCCCCGUUAGCGUUGGAGGACCUCACACUGUUACCGUUCUCGACCCUGUGGCCAGGGCGACGAUCGGGCAUGGCGGACCUGCGGAGUUUCAGGUCCAGGUCGGCUUCUCUCCAUGAGAAUAGCCUGCAUCACCGUUACAGCAUCGGGAUUGUAUAUCUUCUGGGAUGCUCUCGCAAUCGUGGUAUAUUCCAGUCUUAGGGAAGGAUUGAGGACUAACCUCUUCGGUGAGCGUGGCUUCUUUUAGCAGUGCACCGAAACCAGGCCGGAAAAGAUAUGGUAGAUUUAAUCAGCUCUUCUAUGGCGACUGCUGGCUCUCGUCCAAUGACAACCGCGGUUCAUUCCGUCCGUGUGACUUUGAACUGUUGGGACAGUGACCUUACGGGGCUCUCGAAGGUCGGAUCUCCGUCUCCAGAUGUCAGUAGACGGAGAAAGCACUAUCAGCAAAAUGGAAGUAUCCACUCGUUGGCGGAAUACCUUGUUUCGUCUUUCUCAGACGACGAGGGUUGUUUCAGCACACCCUGUCUGACAGCCUCUACCACCGGCUCCCUUUUUUGACAACGGUCUUGCUCUUCGUGUUGACCCGCCGCCAAGCGCGUUCAGCAGUAAAGCGAGUGACGGGCAAUCGGCUGGCCAAGCCGAAUCAGAUGUUUUCUGUUCCGCCAAGCAUCCCCUUUAGCUUCUUCGACUUCACGGGUGAAAUGAUCUUCAGGUGACUCCAGUGGAUCCACUUUUUCAAUCGCAAGCGGCUAUCGCUAAUGGCUUGCAGAAACGGUUCGAGCGGCACCAUCUAUUAUGCAGUGUCUCCGAAGGUGGCGAGUAACAGCCUUACCUGCAGGUUCGUCCACCAGCUUGUAUCGCCCGACACGACUCGAACUUUCUCUCCGUGCAGUGUUACGAUGGCAGGGACACAACAAACAGCCCCUCCGCGUAAUGUAUCCUUGCAUCCCCAAUCGAGGAAGGAUUUUUUCAUGGUGGGCCGCACCAGAAGGUCGGCUUCCUGCUCCUGAGUUCGCACCCGACACUACACCCGGCAGAGUCAACGGAUUGUUUGACCGUCUGCACGAAUCGAGAGCGAGAGAUAACAUCUGCUCUCAGCUAUUCGGCUUACCGUCUAUACGAGUUCCUUCUUCCGCUGUUCGAUUCUUAUCUGUCGGAAUGGUCUCUGUCCGCGCGGAGAGCCGCUCACUGCAUUGCGGAUAUUUAGCGGUUAUGAGCCUUCGCUGAUACUUAUCACAUUUGGCCUGUGAGCUAUUGUCUUUUUGCGGAGGAAUGCAUUUCUUUUUAAAGUUACGCGAACUGAACGCAUUCCGGUCUCCAUCUUAUAUAUGGAAGAUUGACGUACUAUAGCCUCAGGAUGCUAAAUUGUACGACAUUGUGCAUCUUGAACGCAUCUCAGCUGGUAUCGUUGCACUCCUCUUUUUCUCUGUUAUUAGUAACGAGCUUUAUGGUUUUGUCUCGUGGCCUGUCUACGACACCUUCCACUUUUCCUGCGACCGUCUGCCCCCUGGUUAGGGCAUUGCGACGGAGGAAUUCUCAAUCCAUCGUAUUUUUACACGAUUUUCGGCCUUUAGACGCUCUGGAAGAGGUCUAUCGACGAAAGAUGUCAGCCUUCUUGGAUCUAUUCUUCUUUUUGGGCGCCAAAUGUAGCUUGGGUUGCAGCUACGAUUCUAUCUACCGAUCUGCCAAUGAUACUGAAUGUGUCAUGAGAUCCUCGGUGCUCUAUCCGAGAUUUCACACACAUAAUUGCUUGCUUCUAGCGAUUUACCCUAUUCCGUUUAUGCGGCUCUAUAUGACCUGCUUCAUUUCAAGACAGCCGAGAGGCAGAAGCUUUUGGUCCUGGAGACUCAUUCUCAAACCUAUGGCGUGUGGAUGUCACCCUCCGGAUAUCUGAGUUCAGAUUACAAUCGGAUUGGCGUUUUCUCUAACGUUAUUUAGUGCGCUGCAGCUCGCUCUGGCUCCGAGGGUUCUCUGUUCUUUGAUGUACCUUUAACGAGCUGGCGAGCUCCAUAGAAGGUAACACCCCAUGUGGAUGGGUUUGGUGCUUCGGAACGGCUGUUCCUAGCACUUUUUACGUUCACGCUCUUGUGCUAAUAGUGUGCUAUGCUUUAGCGUAUUUUGCCGCAGAUUUUCAAGUCUGCAAUAUCACCGGAGAUAGACGGAGAUGGCGCGCACAGCGCAAUACUUACUUUUCUCGUUUUUUAUAUUGCCUUCCUCGGCACUGUCAUUACAGUCGCCGCAUCAAGAGUUCCAGUCAUCGAUGCUGAGUUACUACUGCCGACUCGGGCGUCCAAUCGGGCUGAGACAGCAUUUAGUCUUCUCGUCGCAGAGUUGGUUGCAUUAAUAGCAACCGUGAAACGUUGAGGCUUCCUGGUUCUUCGCCCCUGAUUUAGAAGCGAUUGCUGUGUUUAUCAUAUCUCGAUAGUAUGAUCUGCCUCAAUUACUGGGAACUCCAUAGGACGUUCACCUUCACAGUGUGAAAGCAGAUUCGUUUACGCGAUAUAUUUGCCGAUUCUUGCACUGUACUCUGCUAUUGUAUACUACUUAUACUAUAUCUCUUGUUACGUCCCGACAAGUCUCCUUUUUCUUCCGGAUUCCUUUUUUUUCAUUUAACCGUCAUAUGCCGAUAUCACUGCCUUCAGACAAACUUUCUCUUUUAUGAUCCAUCCCAAAAUUCCUUUCCUAACAACCUCUCAAAGGACCAAGGUUGCACGCUUAGUCAUCUUCCCCGACAUAGCGCCUAACUUACACUUACUUAGACUUACACACGAGAUAUAUUUUUAUAGCAUUUUAAUUAUAAGUAAAUAUUAAGCAGGUCGCGCGUCCUGGAGGCGAAGCGUGACCAUAUCUCUUGAAUUGUUUUCUCAUAUAUCGAUAUAGUCACUCUUCAAGGCUCGGUUUAAAACGAUAUGUCUAUUGCAUAAUGUUAACGCACAGAUUAACGAUACCAAUAUUUGUAUUCCCGUUGUUUAAAAACAAGAUAAAAUCAUAUAUAAAAUACCAUAAGUAUAUAUACGUAUAAGAAUCGUUAGAACUUUCGCGAAGAUUCUGUAGGCCAAGAGCGGGGAUUUGCGCGGGAUCCUCCCUCUUUGUCUAUGCCUGUUGCAGCCGUUUUCGAGAUCUCCCAUUGGCUAAAGAAAAAUUCUGUUGCUCACGAUUUUUGGUAUAAAAGGAACCAACCAAGGUUCCUGGCUCUCUUCUCUUCCUGGUUCUCCACCGGCUCUCUUCACUCAUAUCGCGGUUAGAAAGAAGUACAGCAACGAGAUCUCCAAAACAGCGUCAACGCGAUCACAACUCAAGGUUCAUAUUUACUUCUCCCUCACUCUAAAUUCAUUCAACAUUGUCGAUUAAUCAACUCGAAUAAAUCCAAUAUCUUAGUAAUUAACUAUCCAAUUAGUAAUUGAAUCUCCGACUCUCACAUUCCUUUUCCGACCAUUUAAAUUAUCCUUAAAUCGCAAAACGCACACGACUUGAGUCCCUGGGGUAAAUUGCUUAAAUGCAUUGAUUCCAAAAACUAAAAUAUUAACGUUACAUCCCGUAACACUCUACUUCGAUACAGUCUUUCUCGGUUGCCACACGCCCAAUAAUCUCAUUCUAUCUGUAUCUGCGCCCGUUGGCCAAGUUGGCGUCUAUAUUUUCUUCUGUCUGUACCGCUGUUACUAUGACACUAGUCCUUCUUCUAGCGCCAGGAUCCGAUCAAUAUGCUACUCUCUCACAGUCGUUAUAUCUCUGUUUAUUGUUCGCUAUGGGUCAAGCCGUCAUUCGGAUGCCGGACAUUCGGAUAAUAUCAGCCGCCAGUUGCGCGCAACUGCUAUCUAUUUUUCCCGGUUUUUUCCGUCGUCUGGAUCUGUGUAUUGUUCCUUUUGCUUGCGCUAUAUCUCGACUCCGCCAGGAAUCUUCAUACGGUCGAUUAUAUUUCUUUACUCUAUCCUGCGUGAUAACAACUUAUUAUUAUAAGACUAUCAUCACGAGCCUUUUGGAUUUUGUUUUAUCAAGAAAUCUUUAUGUUUCUUACUCCGAAAUUUAUGCCUCGUCAUGAGGGCUAAUUGUCUUGGUUCUUGUAGUUAUUUCCGUCUCCCGUCUUUUCGUAAGACAUACGGUUGGUUCCGACGUGUGGCACUUAUCGGCCCUCCUGUAUAACCCGUUCGCUCGUAAGCGGAAUAUCACUCAAUUCGCGGUACUUCCUUGUCGUCCUGACCCAACGAUGUCGCUCCGGCGGCACGAAAACGAGCGUGAGCAAUGUUUUCGGUUUGUUUCCUUUUUCGUUACCGCAGCUACUUUGCUUGCAGAUUGAUCGUUCUUCUUAUAAUACUAUUUUUAUACCAGUCUCAGGAGUCUCCUAUCGUAGACUGGUUAUGACCCUUAUUUGUCUGUUGCUGUUCUAAUUCCUUUGGUUGGUUUUUUGCGCCCACAGGUGCGCCCAGUUCCUUUCUUUGGAGGAUGUACAGGCUUUAUAAUGUACCUGCUUCCUUGGAUUUUGUACCAAGCGUUAUGAUAAUUUGGUACUUCUCGGCAAAGCGCGGUUUGAACAUCUACACAGUUCUUUAUCCAUCCGGACGAGACACCACGGCAUAAUUGUACAAUUAAACGAACUUACCAAGUGAAGUUCGAUUGUAAUUAUGCCUGGUGUUUCGUCUGGAUGAACUUUCCCCACCCAAAGCCUUUGGCUUCUUUCCUCCCUUUAUAUUAGGCGAUUUGCCUCGCAACUUUGAAAUAAUGAGGUUACGGGCGCGCGCAGCGCGGCGGGGCAAAAUGGGCCCCGUUUUUCUAUUUUAUUUUUUAUUUUUAAAACUCUGUUGGAUAUGCAGUCAGAGAAGCAUGACUACACAGUUCUUUAUCCAUCCGGACGAGACACCAGGCAUAAUUACAAUCGAACUUCAUUUGGUAAGUUCGUUUAAUUGUACAAUUAUUUUCAAUUAUAUUAUAAAGAGUAACACGCCUUUUUUAGAAUAAGAUUAUAUUAAAUAUUAUUGUAAAUAAUUUACAAUACAAUAACGGUUAAAAUGCCUACUUACUGCCAAAGAAAGACUGAUAGAAUACAUGAAGACAAUACGUGACGUGCAGAGAAAUGCGUCCGCAAUCGGCUGAGAUCAGCAAAUAAGUGAGACCAAAUUGAAAACAAGCCUACAACUUAGUCAAAACAAGAUCAUACAUAUCCGAAAGAUCCAUAUUUACUACGAAAUCCACGAUACGCCUCGCAAUAAGUUUUGCCUCUACUGUAAAAGCACUCAAUAAGAAAUACUUCUUCUUCGAUGCUUAGAGCAUUCAUCGUGACUCGUAAUUUGGCUUGUACAACGACUCAAAUAAAAUUGACGAAUCUCAAGUACCAGACUCUAAUGAGUAAAAUGAUCGCCGAAGUCAAGGAAGUGAAAUAUAAGCAGUUACUUUCAACACAAUCCUAAUGGUCACCCUGUAAAAUUUUUCUAAUUUCCAUACUCAUAUUUCAGAAUGUAUUGAUGUAUCUAUUUAUGUCAACAAUAAUAUUUUAAUGUCGUUGUUACGUGUAGAAUUAAGAUUAAUUAUUUGACAACGUUAAAAUAUCAAAUAUCCGAUAUUAUAUGUCAAUCAUUUGAAUAUUUGAACCUUUCAAACCUUGACAAUUUUAAAUUCAACUUUAUUCAAAAAUGAAGUUUUAUACGCAUUCUACGCGCAGCAAAUAUUUUGAAGCCGACAGCUUUUCGAUAUUUUGCUACUCGUGAUAAAUGUAAACCGCAUAACGUUUUUGCGAACUAUAUCGUUUGUAUAUGUACAACUUGUACCAAAGUCAGCAAAUUUACGAGAAAUUUACUUACUUUUGUGGUCUGUAUCCUGGUGCGAAUGAAUAAUUCCCUUGGAACUGUUUUGAAACUUCAUUCAAAGCAAAGGCGUCAAUAGUAAAGCUGCCCUUGAUAAAUGAUCUGCCUGCUAUUUUUCUCAUGCUCGUCUGGAAGACACUCCCAGGGAUUUUUAUUAAACAAUAUCAUUACUUAAGUUAUAAUAUUUGUUAACUUUCAAAGAAAACCCUGUGUUAUAUAUUCAAUAUUUAGAAUUAAAAAAUUGUAAUCUGUAAUAUUACUAUAAUAAAAUAAUUUUUAUACAAAACAUUUAUAUUAUUACGAUUAUUUAUAUUAUUUUAUAAAUUGUAAAUAAAAUAUAAAAUAUCUCUAAAGAAGUGAGAAAUACUUAAAGUACUGUAUUUCAUUUUAUCUAUUAUAAUUAGAAUUAAAAGUUUACAAUCUGUAUUGUUAUAAAAAAAUAAUUUUUAUCAUCAAAUCAUUUUAUCUAACAUAUUAGAAAAUGUUUACUUAAAAGUACACAGUAACAUCUGUUUCUUCAAUAUCUUUUUGUUAUAGAUUUUUCUCCUUUAUAGCGUACAAGAAAAAAUAAUAAUCUCUUUUUUGGGCACGAUAAUGUAAUAAUCAAAUAAGCUACAUGAAUAAUAUAAUAAUCGGCGUACCUGAUGCACCGGUUGAGCAGCAAUGUAACAGAGCACCGAUUCCAAGUAAAACUAUCAGGAACGACAGUUUUAGCUGCAAAAUCCAACAAACUCGAAGCUGCUCUCGACACGAUUCGUACUUGCUAUCAACACGACAGAGAUUUUUCAGAGGAAUGAGAUCGCUUGCGACUCUUGCUUCGAUUUCUUUCAUAAAACCACACAACUUUUAGUCACGAAUCUCGCCUUCGUUGUAGAACGCGGUCGAUGUGUCCGUUACUCGUAACUGGUCGAUGAUCAUCCUUCUCUUCCUAUGUGCCGGCAAAUAGAGAGAAAAAAAAGAAAAAAUGCCGUCGCGGAUGCUGAUCUGGGAUUCAUGAAACAAUUGCAAAUUUCACAAAUAAUAUAUUUAUAAAUUUUGAAAAAAAGAUCGUACCACAAAAAGAAACUUUAUCUUGAGUAAAGAGGGGAAUUCAUUCGUUCUCUCAUUAGUCUAGAUAGAUAUUUUAAUUUAAGUAUUUCUAACUACGCAUUUUUUUAUAUUAAUAUUAUAAAAUUUUAUUAAGGAUAAGUCUCUGUAAAGAUUGACUUAUAUUCUUUCUUCACUUCGCAAUAACAUUUUUUUACUUUCUGUUAUUUUGAUUGCCAUGUUGACAUCACGAGAAAACUUGUCAUCCAGAGGAAUCUAAAUUAGAAUCUAAAUUAGAAGGACUGUGCGCGUCAAAUUGAGAAAUGUAGGUCAGAACGAAGCGAUAAUUAGAAAGCCAAGAGAAUCAUUUUCCUACUGAUCUACUUAAAUCGUUUCUACCUAAAUGACGCAGCGUUCGUGAAGUUCUUCAUAUAAAAAAAAUUAGAUAUAUUCACGUUUGAAGCAUUUUAUGAUUUACACGUAGAAUGUAAUUUAUGUCAUCACUGUUGCAUUCUCUAAAUGCAUUUCUACACCGCAGUUUGCGUGCGCAUCACACUGAUUAUUUAAUUAAUAAAAGAAUCUCGGCCUCCGUAAA
RNAcentral lists this long non-coding RNA (8285 nucleotides) under Ooceraea biroi (clonal raider ant). RNAcentral describes it as "uncharacterized LOC109610710". The record is from RNAcentral. Lineage: Eukaryota; Metazoa; Arthropoda; Insecta; Hymenoptera; Formicidae.